RNAcentral lists this ribosomal RNA (450 nucleotides) under uncultured prokaryote. Its description in RNAcentral is "bacterial SSU rRNA". It matches the Rfam family "Bacterial small subunit ribosomal RNA", at positions 355 to 796 of the family's 1533-position model. The record is from RNAcentral.
UGGGGAAUCUUGCGCAAUGGGGGAAACCCUGACGCAGCAACGCCGUGUGUGCGAUGAAGGCCCUCGGGUCGUAAAGCGCUGUCAACAGGGAAGAUGGUUUCGUUGGUUAAUAUCCAUCGGAGCUGACGGUACCUGUGGAGGAAGCACCGGCUAACUCUGUGCCAGCAGCCGCGGUAAGACAGAGGGUGCAAGCGUUGUUCGGAAUUAUUGGGCGUAAAGCGCGCGUAGGCGGCGAGUUAAGUCGGAUGUGAAAGCCCGGGGCUCAACCUCGGAAGUGCAUCCGAAACUGGCUUGCUUGAAUCUUGGAGGGGGCAGUGGAAUUCCCGGUGUAGAGGUGAAAGUCGUAGAUAUCGGGAGGAACACCAGUGGCGAAGGCGACUGCCUGGACAAUGAUUGACGCUGAGGUGCGAAAGCGUGGGUAGCAAACAGGAUUAGAUACCCCCGUAGUCC